Molecule: ribosomal RNA, 542 nt
Filed under: uncultured Glomeromycotina
Lineage: Eukaryota; Fungi; Glomeromycota
Description: SSU rRNA
Rfam family: Eukaryotic small subunit ribosomal RNA
Source: RNAcentral
GCAAGUCUGGUGCCAGCAGCCGCGGUAAUUCCAGCUCCAAUAGCGUAUAUUAAAGUUGUUGCAGUUAAAAAGCUCGUAGUUGAAUUUCGGGAUCAAUAUUUCGGUCAUGCCGUUGGUAUGCACUGUUAUCAUUGAUUUCUCACCUUCUAAAGAACCAUAAUGCCAUUAAUUUGGUGUUACGGGGAAUUAGGACUGUUACCUUGAAAAAAUUAGAGUGUUUAAAGCAGGCUCACGCUUGAAUACAUUAGCAUGGAAUAAUGAAAUAGGACAUCCGAUUCUAUUUUGUUGGUUUCUAGGAUCGAUGUAAUGAUUAAUAGGGAUAGUUGGGGGCAUUAGUAUUCAAUUGUCAGAGGUGAAAUUCUUGGAUUUAUUGAAGACUAACUACUGCGAAAGCAUUUGCCAAGGAUGUUUUCAUUAAUCAAGAACGAAAGUUAGGGGAUCGAAGACGAUCAGAUACCGUCGUAGUCUUAACCAUAAACUAUGCCGACUAGGGAUCGGAUGAUGUUAAUUUUUUAAUGACUCAUUCGGCGCCUACGGGAAAC